GCGCGCAUAGCUCAGUGGUAGAGCGCUUCGUUCACAUCGAAGAGGUCCCUGGUUCGAUCCCAGGUGCGCGCA
This 72-nucleotide transfer RNA is filed under the name Candidatus Jorgensenbacteria bacterium. RNAcentral describes it as "tRNA-Val". It matches the Rfam family "tRNA". From Rfam's summary of the family: Transfer RNA (tRNA) molecules are approximately 80 nucleotides in length. Their secondary structure includes four short double-helical elements and three loops (D, anti-codon, and T loops). The record is from RNAcentral. Lineage: Bacteria; Candidatus Joergenseniibacteriota.